GGAAGUAAAGUCGUAACAAGGUUUCCGUAGGUGAACCUGCGGAAGGAUCAUUCAUAAUAAGUGUUUUAUGGCACUUUUUUAAAUCCAUAUCCACCUUGUGUGCAAUGUCAGGGUUGAUUUUUCUCUCGAGAGGAUCAACCCCAAACAUCAACUAUAUCUCAACUCUUUGUCUGAAAAAUAUUAUGAAUAAAACAAUUCAAAAUACAACUUUCAACAACGGAUCUCUUGGCUCUC
Molecule: unclassified non-coding RNA, 234 nt
Filed under: plant metagenome
Description: partial contains small subunit ribosomal RNA, internal transcribed spacer 1, and 5.8S ribosomal RNA
Rfam family: Eukaryotic small subunit ribosomal RNA (bases 1-53)
Source: RNAcentral